AUUGAACGCUGGCGGCAUGCCUUACACAUGCCAGUCGAACGGCAGCACGGGUGCUUGCCCCUGGUGGCGAGUGGCGAACGGGUGAGUAAUACAUCGGAACAUGUCCUGUAGUGGGGGAUAGCCCGGCGAAAGCCGAAUUAAUACCGCAUACGAUCUACGGAUGAAAGCGGGGGACCUUCGGGCCUCGCGCUAUAGGGUUGGCCGAUGGCUGAUUAGCUAGUUGGUGGGGUAAAGGCCUACCAAGGCGACGAUCAGUAGCUGGUCUGAGAGGACGACCAGCCACACUGGGACUGAGACACGGCCCAGACUCCUACGGGAGGCAGCAGUGGGGAAUUUUGGACAAUGGGCGAAAGCCUGAUCCAGCAAUGCCGCGUGUGUGAAGAAGGCCUUCGGGUUGUAAAGCACUUUUGUCCGGAAAGAAAUCCUUGGCCCUAAUACGGUCGGGGGAUGACGGUACCGGAAGAAUAAGCACCGGCUAACUACGUG
This 486-nucleotide ribosomal RNA is filed under the name uncultured bacterium. Its description in RNAcentral is "partial 16S ribosomal RNA". It matches the Rfam family "Bacterial small subunit ribosomal RNA", at positions 30 to 507 of the family's 1533-position model. The record is from RNAcentral.